GUCGAACGGAGCUUUUCGGAGCUAAGUGGCGGACGGGUGAGUAACGCGUGAGAAUCUACCUUUUGGAGGGGGACAACACUGGGAAACCAAUGCUAAGACCCCAUAGGCUGAAAAGUGAAAAACGAAAGUUGCCAAGAGAGGAGCUCGCGUCUGAUUAGCUAGUUGGUAGUGUAAAAGACAACCAAGGCGACGAUCAGUAGCUGGUCUGAGAGGACGAACAGCCACACUGGGACUGAGACACGGCCCAGACUCCUACGGGAGGCAGCAGUGGGGAAUUUUCCGCAAUGGGCGAAAGCCUGACGGAGCAAUACCGCGUGAGGGAGGAAGGCCUUUGGGUUGUAAACCUCAAAAAUUAGGGAAGAAAAAAAUGACGGUACCUAAAAUAAGCAUCGGCUAACUCCGUG
Molecule: ribosomal RNA, 404 nt
Filed under: uncultured bacterium
Lineage: Bacteria
Description: partial 16S ribosomal RNA
Rfam family: Bacterial small subunit ribosomal RNA
Source: RNAcentral